This 408-nucleotide unclassified non-coding RNA is filed under the name Hevea brasiliensis (rubber tree). The record is from RNAcentral. Lineage: Eukaryota; Viridiplantae; Streptophyta; Magnoliopsida; Malpighiales; Euphorbiaceae.
UGUUGUUUGGCAGUGUCGCAAACAAGCCAAGGAAUUAAAUGAGUGUCUUCAUCAGUACACGAAUGACUCUGUUUUGGAAGAAAUGAAGAAAGCAUACAUGCUCCAACAGAAUGAACAGGGAUCACUUAGAGUUUGAGUAUGCCUUUCAUGGUUCUUCGAGUUAAGUUGUCUCCACAUUGUCUGCAGUUCAGAAGGCCUUCACUUUCUUAUCAGGAUUUGGCUGUGAUUUGUGAUCGAGCAGUACGUUUUUGCCUUGUUGGGUGCAUUUAGUUCUUGGUGGAACUCACAGAAAAUUGAAUAAAUUUGUGGUUCUCAAGUUAUACAUGCUACACUUGGUCACUAAUUUUCAAAUUGGGUGAGGAGUGAACUUCUUUAUCCCCUUGUUUCAGUUAUGCAAGUCAUUUCGAG